RNAcentral lists this ribosomal RNA (253 nucleotides) under uncultured bacterium. RNAcentral describes it as "partial 16S ribosomal RNA". It matches the Rfam family "Bacterial small subunit ribosomal RNA", at positions 524 to 776 of the family's 1533-position model. The record is from RNAcentral.
GACAGAGGGUGCAAACGUUGUUCGGAAUUACUGGGCGUAAAGCGCGUGUAGGCGGCCCUGCAAGUCGGAUGUGAAAUCCCACGGCUCAACCGUGGAAGUGCAUUCGAAACUGCAGGACUAGAGUCCUGGAGAGGAAGGUGGAAUGCUUGGUGUAGAGGUGAAAUUCGUAGAUAUCAAGCGGAACACCGGUGGCGAAGGCGGCCUUCUGGACAGUGACUGACGCUGAGACGCGAAAGCGUGGGGAGCAAACAGG